Daphnia pulex (common water flea) is the source of this 1305-nucleotide long non-coding RNA. RefSeq lists it as uncharacterized. NCBI's taxonomy places the organism in Eukaryota, Metazoa, Arthropoda, Branchiopoda, Diplostraca, Daphniidae. The record is from RefSeq and is a predicted model, not a curated record. The transcript has 5 exons.
UAAACCUGCCAGUUAUUCAGAAUGUGUUUCUAUUCAUUUUGGACACUAGGCUACUAAGCUACAUGCUACAAGGCAACAGCAAACAUUAAGUCAAUCACAAAUGAUGGUGAUUUAAGAUGAAAAAUCCUUUCAACAACACCCUAUCUGACAAAGCAACAGCAUGUUCCUGGCUCAUUUGAUCCUCACUCUAGGGACUGGGCAUCUAAUUUAAUUAAUAAUCACCUGUUACAAUGACCAUUGAUAAUUGGAGAGCAGCAUUGGAAUGUGACAGCUUGUCUAGCUUCGACUGGUCCUAAGUUACACAAUACAAAACACAUCAUAAGUUACUUUAAAAAAUCAAAAAAAUUUAGAUUAGGAUUUUUAGCUUAAAUUUCAACUGAAGUUUUCAUGCGACCUAGGUGCUUGUGACAAUAGAAAUCAAGUUAUGAAAUCCAAUAAUGCAAGCUAUGUCUUCCAAAGCUAAAUAGUUUCUACUGUCAUUUAAUUUUUAUGAUAAAAUUUCAGGUUAACUUCCCCUGUCAAAUUGUGGUAAAUCUUCAAGAUAAGAAGAUAUUGAUGCUUUCCCAAGAUCCAACUGCUAUCUCUUCUGCAGAUAACAGCAAAAUAAUGCUGCCACUCAAGAGGUUGUGGUGACCGCCACUUAGUUCUAAUUUAGGACAAUGUGUAACAUUGAUAGAUUUUAGCUAAUAUUCGGCACUCACCCACUGGGAUAAUAUAAUCAGGAGGAUGAGGAGGGCUCUGAUGCGACUAUCAUGUUCUUCCGCUGCGACACACCUGUAAGUCACUCACCACGGGAUUGUACCCAGGUCUUUCUUGCGAGUCGCAAACGAAGUGUUGCGAGUGUACCAAAGGAAUGAAAAAGCUGCUGCAAGUCACUUUCUCGUCUUAAGAGCCCACUAGAGACUUUGGAACUUGGGGUUAACUUCUGGAGUAAAAAUCAGAUUGAAUGAGAAAUAUGUUUAAUUGGUCCAUCCAUCAAAUUGGCCUAGUAAGCUGAAGUCCUGAUGGAUUUGGUCUUUGAAUUGCUUUUAUUAUUAAUGUGAGGCUUGCUGGCUAGGAUACUGAAGAGAACAUCUGGCGGCCAGAUUUGCCAGUUGUUGUGGCGUAGUGGAAGUAAGCUAGCCUCUUAAUCUAACUUCUUCUAAGUUCUAGUCUUCUUGGUUCCCCCUUCCCUGUUUAGUUGAAGUGUGGGUUUUGAAAAUAAAAGCCGUCAUUAUUAAAUUCAAUUAUCCUAUUACCGUUCAGAAAAUGCAUCUAUGUGCUCGUAUCAUAACCUUAAUAAAAAGUCGCAUAUUAAAAAACCUA